Molecule: long non-coding RNA, 1292 nt
Filed under: Fukomys damarensis (Damara mole-rat)
Lineage: Eukaryota; Metazoa; Chordata; Mammalia; Rodentia; Bathyergidae
Description: lncRNA (ENSFDAG00000022310.1)
Source: RNAcentral
CCUCCUUCAGCUGUUUCUCAAGUGUCUGAGAGAGUACUGGUUCUGCCCAUGUAGGGGUGGAGGUAGGAGCCAGCUCAACACAUCUCACAUACUCAGUACCUCAUGUAAUCUUUUCCACAGUCCUGGAAGGCAAGUUCGAUUGCCAUUUCACAGAUGACAAGUCUGUCCCUUACAGAAGUGAAUCUAGAGCAACCAUUACGUUAAUUCCUCCAUCAUCGAGACCCAGAGCCAACUUCCCUGGACUCCAAGCUCACCUACGACCUUCUCUCUACCAUCCUCAACCCCCAUCCCACUCUUGUGUUCUGCUGGCUGCAGGGAAUGCUCUCACGCUGACUUGAGAGAAACUGGAGCAACAAUAAUUAGUAGUAUCCCAGUGACCGAAGAGGCUGGCUCCGUACUGCAGUGUACCCGAGAUAGGUCCCACAGCCAACUGGCAGGUCAAGUGAAUGCUCCCCGGCACCACAGUCCAAUCCCUCCUCACUCUGCCCAUUAGUGGGCGGCUACUUGUUACCCACCACCUCUCUUGACAGGUACUUUCUCUGGGUCCAUUUGUCUUUUUCCUUUUGCUGAGACACUGGUCAAAGAAAGACUUCUAAUGAAAACCGCAAAGGUUUGUGUUUAAAUAGUUUGGGUGGUCGAAAGGAGGAAUCUUGACAACUUUGCUUUUAAACUCCCCUGCAAGAAGAAAGAACAUAGACCCCUGCUCAACUGGAUCAUUUAAAUGUUAACUUAAUUAUUGUAUGGUGAAUAGAAUACUGCACGUUAGAAAAAAAUUAUGAAUUUUACCCCAAAAUAAUGAAAAAUUGCCCUUUGCCCUGGCAUGCAAAAAAUGAACAAAACGUGAAAGUAUGUUUAAGGCUUAUAAAAGAACAAUUAAUUUAUCUUAAAUGUAAAACAAUAUACAAAGGAUAGAUAAUGACCAGACCACAUAUGACAAUAGAACUGAGACCCAUAGCCUUUGCAGCAAAGCUGCCCAAACUACAGUUUUGGCAGCGAUCUUCAGGAUUUAAAGACUGAUCAACUUGCCAGCUUUCCCAUUUUUUUUCUAUAACCAACAAGAAGAAGCCAGUUAGCCUUAAACAAUGACAAGGAUGUCCUGCAACAAGUUUGAUUUCCUCCAACUUCCCAGUGCUAACAAACUCCAAUCAGAUCAUACCUGAUGUUUUCUUUCUCAAAAAUACAGAUUUCCCACUCCUUUUCCUGCCCUUGAAUCACUGCCAAACACACUUGUGCUGGUAGCUGACAUCUUUGCUAUACCAUAAUAAACUGCAAGUAAGUAACCUGUUUGUUCU